UACGUAGGGGGCAAGCGUUGUCCGGAUUUAUUGGGCGUAAAGAGCGUGUAGGCGGCCAGAUAGGUCAGCUGUGAAAACUCGAGGCUCAACCUCGAGAUGUCGGCUGAAACCAUCUGGCUAGAGUCCGGAAGAGGAGAAUGGAAUUCCCGGUGUAGCGGUGAAAUGCGCAGAUAUCGGGAGGAACACCAGUAGCGAAGGCGGCACUCUGGGCCGGUACUGACGCUGAGGAGCGAAAGCGUGGGGAGCGAACAGG
Molecule: ribosomal RNA, 253 nt
Filed under: uncultured bacterium
Lineage: Bacteria
Description: partial 16S ribosomal RNA
Rfam family: Bacterial small subunit ribosomal RNA
Source: RNAcentral